GUCAGGCAUGGUGGCCCAUGCCUGUAGUCCCAGCUACUCAGGAGGCUGAGGUGGGGAGAUUGCUUGAGCCCAGGAGUUUGAGGAUGCAGUGAGCCAAGGUUGUACCACUGCACUUCAGCCUGGGCAACAGAGCAAGACCCUGUCUCUA
This is an unclassified non-coding RNA of Pongo abelii (Sumatran orangutan), 148 nucleotides long. It matches the Rfam family "Metazoan signal recognition particle RNA". From Rfam's summary of the family: The signal recognition particle (SRP) is a universally conserved ribonucleoprotein. The record is from Ensembl. Lineage: Eukaryota; Metazoa; Chordata; Mammalia; Primates; Hominidae.